This 120-nucleotide ribosomal RNA is filed under the name Helianthus annuus (common sunflower). The record is from RNAcentral. Lineage: Eukaryota; Viridiplantae; Streptophyta; Magnoliopsida; Asterales; Asteraceae.
GGUUGCGAUCAUACCAGCACUAAUGCACCAGAUCCCAUCAGAACUCCGCAGUUAAGCGUGCUUGGGCGAGAGUAGUACUAGGAUGGGUGACCCCCUGGGAAGUCCUCGUGUUGCAACCCC